Long non-coding RNA from Gopherus evgoodei (Goodes thornscrub tortoise), 1366 nucleotides. RefSeq lists it as uncharacterized. Lineage: Eukaryota; Metazoa; Chordata; Testudines; Testudinidae. The transcript has 3 exons. The record is from RefSeq and is a predicted model, not a curated record.
UUUCCCAGUCAGACCUUGCCAAGAGAAGCAGGGAGAAAAUGUUUUAGUUGCCUCCUUCAGAACAGCUUGGCCUAGAAUCUCUCGCUGUGCGUCACUGUCAUGGCCUUGCUGAGGACGAGGGCAUUUUAAUAAUUUGUGGCGGUCCCAGGGUGUUUGUGGGAGAUGAUGAGGAUGUUACCUUUUCAGAUAAAAACUAAGAAAUCCAGGGCUAGCAAAUUCUAUUAGAAAUCUGGUAUUUAGACAUUGUAUUUUAAGCAGUGGGGUUCUCAGUUCCUGAGAUGGUUUUUGUUUGCAGGAAGCAACAUGGUUUGGUCUGUGAUUGUACCAAAGGGGAAAGAGGGUUGUUUGUAAUGGAAGAGAGAAGACUGAAGGUCUCCGAUGCGGAUAGGAUUUGAACCCACGCAUGCGGACCACAAUGGAUUAGCAGCAUCACCUUAACCACUCAGCCACCUCAUCUGAGCUGUCAGGGAAGGGACAAGAGGAGAAAUCCAAGGCCAGCAGAGUUCGCUGCUUGUGGCGGCAAAAAAGCUGGAGCUGGCCGUGGGGACAUGAGCUCGACAUCCCAGCCUGUGUUAGCUCCAACCCCAUAUCUGCCCUCGGAGAAGGGAAAUGAAAAUCGCUGACCAAAAUGACAAUUUUCACCCUGUUGUCAGAUGCCACUGGUGUGGAGCUCUGCUCGUUUGAUGUUAACAGUCGGCUGCAUGUGUGCUGACCCGGCUCUGCAGAUCGCUGGCACAGCAGACCCAGAGAGAACCCCCAAUGACCACAGACACUGAUGAGGGAUGAAGGCACCCGGCCAGGUUUAUUGUCUAAUGAAGCACGGUAAUAGUUCCCCGUAGACUCUACAGGACAUACUACAAGUAUGUGCCCCCGACAAUGGACCAGUUCAGUCAGUGGCGGGACUCUCCACUGCCCCCUAGGCCAGACAAAGACGUCCACUCGGGUGCAUUCGUAUACACGGGCCUCAUCCUGCUACACAUCAACGGUGGUGCUGACCACAGUGAAACGCCACUUUGGGGCCAAGGAAACAAGCACCGAGUGGUGGGAUCACAUCGUGAUGCACGUCUGGGAUGAUGAGUGUUAUCAGAGGUGUGUUGUUAGAAGCACUACCAGUAUGGUGCUCUGCUCUGCUCUCUCCAAUGUUGGUAUCACUCGGCUGCUUGCGUGAGCUCACCCUGUGUGCUGCCCCAGCUCUGCAGAUAGCUGAUGCAGCAGACCCGACGAGAAGCCCCAAUGACCACAGACUCUAGUAAGGUGCAAAGUCACGUCUGCUAGGUUUAUUGCGAUCUUGGACACAAUGGCAGUUCCCUGUAGGUUUCUUAGUCUAACUCAGGGCAUACUACGAGAAAGUGCCUCUUGGCAAUGG